CGGAAUGAUUUGGGUACCUCACCUUCUCUUUCUCACCUGAGAUCACUUGUAUUUGAAAAGAAUGUAUACUCUUCAAGGCACUUCAGGAAUAUACACAGAAAAUGAAAGCCCAUUGUUUGAACAGAUUUCAUUAAACGAGAGCUCUACUUUAAGAAGAAGAAAAAAAUUGUAGACUACCAGAUGUUAUGGAUCUACAG
RNAcentral lists this long non-coding RNA (197 nucleotides) under Pan troglodytes (chimpanzee). Its description in RNAcentral is "lncRNA (ENSPTRG00000054363.1)". Lineage: Eukaryota; Metazoa; Chordata; Mammalia; Primates; Hominidae. The record is from RNAcentral.